This 497-nucleotide ribosomal RNA is filed under the name uncultured bacterium. RNAcentral describes it as "partial 16S ribosomal RNA". It matches the Rfam family "Bacterial small subunit ribosomal RNA", at positions 28 to 507 of the family's 1533-position model. The record is from RNAcentral.
GAUGAACGCUGGCGGCGUGCCUAAUACAUGCAAGUCGAGCGAACAGACGAGGAGCUUGCUCCUCUGACGUUAGCGGCGGACGGGUGAGUAACACGUGGAUAACCUACCUAUAAGACUGGGAUAACUUCGGGAAACCGGCGCUAAUACCGGAUAAUAUAUUGAACCGCAUGGUUCAAUAGUGAAAGACGGUUUUGCUGUCACUUAUAGAUGGAUCCGCGCCGCUUUAGCUAGUUGGUAAGGUAACGGCUUACCAAGGCGACGAUGCGUAGCCGACCUGAGAGGGUGAUCGGCCACACUGGAACUGAGACACGGUCAAGACUCCUACGGGAGGCAGCAGUAGGGAAUCUUCCGCAAAGGGCGAAAGCCUGACGGAGCAACGCCGCGUGAGUGAUGAAGGUCUUCGGAUCGUAAAACUCUGUUAUUAGGGAAGAACAAAUGUGUAAGUAACUAUGCACGUCUUGACGGUACCUAAUCAGAAAGCCACGGCUAACUACGUG